This 774-nucleotide ribosomal RNA is filed under the name uncultured Neocallimastigales. RNAcentral describes it as "partial large subunit ribosomal RNA". It matches the Rfam family "Eukaryotic large subunit ribosomal RNA", at positions 24 to 649 of the family's 3401-position model. Lineage: Eukaryota; Fungi; Neocallimastigomycota; Neocallimastigomycetes; Neocallimastigales. The record is from RNAcentral.
GUAGUCUCGCACAGAUGCAUAUCAAUAAGCGGAGGAAAAGAAACUAACAAGGAUUCCCCUAGUAACGGCGAGUGAAGCGGGAAGAGCUCAAAUUUGAAAUCUUAAAGGGUUUCCCUUUACGAAUUGUAGUUUAAAGAAGUGUUUUCUGUUGAGGUUUUGGUAAAAGUUCUUUGGAAUAGGACAUCAUAGAGGGUGAGAAUCCCGUAUUUGACCUUUACUUUCAACUUUGUGAUACACUUUCAAAGAGUCGGAUUGUUUGGGAAUGCAGUCCAAAAUGGGUGGUAAAUUUCAUCUAAAGCUAAAUAUUGGCGAGAGACCGAUAGCGAACAAGUACCGUGAGGGAAAGAUGAAAAGAACUUUGAAAAGAGAGUUAAACAGUACGUGAAAUUGUCAAAAGGGAAGCGUUUGACACCAGUGUUGUUUUUCUGAAAAUCAAUUAAAGAACUGUUUAUGCUAAGCUGUUUAGACUUUAUCAGCUAACUGUUUAGUUUUGAGCUUUUCUUUAAUGCACUUUACAGUUAACAAGUCAACAUCAAUUUCUUUUGCUGUAAAAAAGCUUGAGGAAGGUGGCUUGAGAUUCGUCUUAAGUGUUUAUAGCCUCUUGCCUAUGCAGUCGGAGAGAUUGAGGUCUGCAGCGUAGAUCCUUCGGGGCUAAAUGCAUUUGUGCUAAGUUAUAGCAUUUUAUAGACAACUUGUUGACUAUGAUUUGUCUUGUAGCUUACUCGCUUAUGUUAUUUUACCUACGCUUAGGAUGUUGAGUAGCGACAUACGCAC